Molecule: ribosomal RNA, 253 nt
Filed under: uncultured bacterium
Lineage: Bacteria
Description: partial 16S ribosomal RNA
Rfam family: Bacterial small subunit ribosomal RNA
Source: RNAcentral
GACGUAGGGCGCGAGCGUUGUCCGGAUUUAUUGGGCGUAAAGAGCUCGUAGGCGGCUCGUUGCGUCGGCUGUGAAAACCCGCAGCUCAACUGUGGGCUUGCAGCUGAUACGGGCGGGCUGGGAUUCGGUAGGGGAGACUGGAAUUCCUGGUGUAGCGGUGAAAUGCGCAGAUAUCGGGAAGAACACCCGUGGCGAAGGCGGUUCUCUGGGACGGUACUGACGCUGAGACGCGAAAGCGUGGGGAGCGAACAGG